RNAcentral lists this ribosomal RNA (477 nucleotides) under uncultured organism. RNAcentral's name for it is "partial 16S ribosomal RNA". It matches the Rfam family "Bacterial small subunit ribosomal RNA", at positions 331 to 799 of the family's 1533-position model. The record is from RNAcentral.
GUACACUCCUGCGGGAGGCAGCAGUGGGGAAUUUUGGACAAUGGGCGAAAGCCUGAUCCAGCAAUGCCGCGUGAGUGAAGAAGGCCUUCGGGUUGUAAAGCUCUUUUGUCAGGGAAGAAACGGUGAAAGCUAAUAUCUUUUGCUAAUGACGGUACCUGAAGAAUAAGCACCGGCUAACUACGUGCCAGCAGCCGCGGUAAUACGUAGGGUGCAAGCGUUAAUCGGAAUUACUGGGCGUAAAGCGUGCGCAGGCGGUUUUGUAAGUCUGAUGUGAAAUCCCCGGGCUCAACCUGGGAAUUGCAUUGGAGACUGCAAGGCUAGAAUCUGGCAGAGGGGGGUAGAAUUCCACGUGUAGCAGUGAAAUGCGUAGAUAUGUGGAGGAACACCGAUGGCGAAGGCAGCCCCCUGGGUCAAGAUUGACGCUCAUGCACGAAAGCGUGGGGAGCAAACAGGAUUAGAAACCCGAGUAGUCCCAUG